UACAGUUGUUCAACCAGUUACUA
Molecule: microRNA, 23 nt
Filed under: Pan troglodytes (chimpanzee)
Lineage: Eukaryota; Metazoa; Chordata; Mammalia; Primates; Hominidae
Also listed under: 1 other name
Description: ptr-miR-582
Gene: ptr-miR-582
Source: miRBase by way of RNAcentral